RNAcentral lists this non-coding RNA (46 nucleotides) under Trichobilharzia regenti. Lineage: Eukaryota; Metazoa; Platyhelminthes; Trematoda; Strigeidida; Schistosomatidae. The record is from RNAcentral.
CUACUACUGAAGAGUCCUAAACGAGGACAAAACAACUGUCCAGUAC